GACGAACGCUGGCGGCGUGCCUAAUACAUGCAAGUCGAACGAGAGCGACCGGUGCUUGCACUGGUCAAUCUAGUGGCGAACGGGUGAGUAACACGUGGGUAACCUGCCCAUCAGAGGGGGAUAACAUUCGGAAACGGAUGCUAAAACCGCAUAGGUCUUCGAGCCGCAUGGCUUGAAGAGGAAAAGAGGCGCAAGCUUCUGCUGAUGGAUGGACCCGCGGUGCAUUAGCUAGUUGGUGAGGUAACGGCUCACCAAGGCCGUGAUGCAUAGCCGACCUGAGAGGGUGAUCGGCCACAUUGGGACUGAGACACGGCCCAAACUCCUACGGGAGGCAGCAGUAGGGAAUCUUCCGCAAUGGACGCAAGUCUGACGGAGCAACGCCGCGUGAGUGAAGAAGGUUUUCGGAUCGUAAAACUCUGUUGUUAGAGAAGAACAAGUGCUAGAGUAACUGUUAGCGC
RNAcentral lists this ribosomal RNA (458 nucleotides) under Granulicatella adiacens. RNAcentral describes it as "bacterial SSU rRNA". It matches the Rfam family "Bacterial small subunit ribosomal RNA", at positions 28 to 475 of the family's 1533-position model. The record is from RNAcentral. Lineage: Bacteria; Bacillati; Bacillota; Bacilli; Lactobacillales; Carnobacteriaceae.